Triticum aestivum (bread wheat) is the source of this 115-nucleotide non-coding RNA. NCBI's taxonomy places the organism in Eukaryota, Viridiplantae, Streptophyta, Magnoliopsida, Poales, Poaceae. The record is from Rfam.
CUUGUACUCCCUCCGUCUGAAAAUACUUGUCAUUGAAAUGGAUGUAUCUAGAUGUAUUUUAGUUCUAGACAUAUCCAUUUUGAUGACAAGUAAUUCCGGACGGAGGGAGUACUUG